Ictidomys tridecemlineatus (thirteen-lined ground squirrel) is the source of this 2538-nucleotide non-coding RNA. The record is from RefSeq and is a predicted model, not a curated record. Lineage: Eukaryota; Metazoa; Chordata; Mammalia; Rodentia; Sciuridae.
AGUAGGGCAUUGUCUUAACUAUCUCAGGAAUUUCAGGUUCUGGGUGUAGCAGAGGAACUUAAUAAUACCUAGUCUUUUACAUUCAAGCUUUCCAGCUUAGAAACUUUACCCUUUCAAAAUAACCUGAAACACCCUUAAAUUAAUUAUAGUCAGUUUAAUAUAUAUAAAUCUCUUUUUCAAUUGUUCUAACUUUUUAUAUCAACUGUUUAGAUAACAAUAUAAAAAUCUUUUUUACUUGGGAAAAUUAAUAUAAAGACCUUGUUUUACCCAAAGAUGAUUUCUUUCUUCUUUUUAGGAUCCAUGUGUGCUUUUUCAUUGUUGAAGCAUCUUUUUCUUUUAGAAAAAAAAAAAUUUUUUUUUAUACUUUGGAACAAUUUCUGAAAACCUUAGACUCCAUAAACAAAUUAUUAUACUUUGAUAAGAAAUAUCAAUGAAAAUAGUUAAAACCCUUAGAUAUUUUGUAGAAAUAAUUAUAAUAAUUUAUCAUCUUAUGAGUUUAAACAGUAACUUUGAGAAUUAGAAACUACUUGAUUGUAUUUUCACUUAAAAGCAAAUUUAUAGUAAACACAUUUAUCUCAAAUAUCUGUAACUGAAAAGGCAGAGUAUCUGAUAAAUGUAAAUAUAAAACAUAAAUUAUGGGUUUUCUGUUGAAGAAAAACAAUUAGGCAAAUAUAUAUUAACUAAUCAAUUAAGCAUGUGCUAAUUAAUUUAUAGAUUAACAAAUGUAGGUUAUCUAAAUAUCUAAAAAAAUAUAUAUUAUGAAUAAGAACAUAACUUAUAAUUGUAUUAACUUUAUGUAACCACGUGGUCUUAAAUAUUUGGAUCCAUUUUAAUUUAUUUUUAACUAGGAGUGCACUCUUCUAUAUGACGUUACUUGAUAUAACUGAAAUAAGUUCCUUUUUUUUUAAUAUUUAUUUUUUAGUUUUCGGCGGACACAACAUCUUUGUUUGUAUGUGGUGCCGAGGAUCAAACCUGGGCUGAACGCAUGCUAGGCGAGUACGCUACCGCUUGAGCCACAUUCCCAGUCCUGAAAUAAGAUCCUUGAGUAUACAUUUUUAUUUUCAAAGUUAGCAAUGAGAAUAAGGAUUUUUUGGUCAUCAUAGGAACUUUGCUGGCUUGUUCCUGUGGCAAGCAAAUGCAUCCUCAUAACCUCCAAAAUCAAAAGUAAAAUAUAAAGAAGCAUAUUUGAUAUCUCUCAUCAAUAUAACAUUAUUUAGUUACACAACUAUAGAGAAAACUUAGGUUAUUUAACUUAGAACUAACUUAAAUUUAGGACCUGUGGAAUUAAAUUUUGUCUGAAAAAGAUAUCUUUCGUUAGCAUUUACAGGUAGGCAUUUUUUUUUUUUUUAAAUACAGGCUCUGAGCAGCUCUGGUAGAAAUCUGAAACACAGUAGUACAGAUUAGUGGCUGGAAGGCGGGACUAGAAGUCCUGUCUGAGUGACUGUGGAAGAACCAAUAGGAAGCCCGCAAAAGUGUGGGAGGUGGGACCAGGAAGCCGCUCUUCUGGCCAGGCACCCCAUGGUUACCAUGGUGAUGCAAACAACAUGAAGUCUGCUGCCCAUUUUCGGGUCAAAAGUUCCCCAAGUUUUCCUAGCCGAUUGCAUUUUGUUUGAUUUUGUCUGCAUUUUUCCCCGCCUGGCCAAGAUCUUAGUGCGGUAGCAGCUUGUUCUCUCUCUGUGACCUGCAGUUGCAGCUCGUGUACAUCCUGCACUUUCUGGCGUUCCCUUGGUUACGCCGUGGGAAGCCGGUGUUCAGAUUGACCUGGGCUAGCUCGCGACACUUCUCUUGAUUUUCACUUUUCCACAACAAAAAAUCCCCUCCGGACAACAUAGCCCUGAAAAGCUGUUGCCAAUCACUGUUAUUGAGAAAGCCUCCUGUCAGAAACCAAGGACAAGCCCGGGCUAUAGUUUCAACGAAUUCGGUUACUGUCUUGGUUUUUAUUCCUGUUCCUUAGUUGCUUAACAGCUCUUUAACCUCGCUGGCCAGACGAAGUUUCACUGUUGAGUUACCCAUGGUACGUACCCUGUCUCUUUUGAAUUAUCUUUGAUCCAAUCCUCCCCCUUCUACCUUAGAAGGUGAGCCCCAUCCGCUUACCUCUGCUUUCCGGAACUUGGUGGGAACCUCCACUUGCUGCAUCCGGCUAACAGGGCCGUGUCCAGCGAGAGACGGUGGAGUUAAGAAAUACACAGGACACCAAGGUUCUUCAUCCAGGAGGAGGCGUGUGCGCCUUUAUUGCCAAAGUUUGUUCCCUUAUAUAUCUUUUUUAACAGCUGCGGGAAAUUACUCAAAAGCAAGGAGGGGGCAUAGGGAUGUAGCUCAAGCGGUAGCGCGCUCACCUAGCAUGCGUGCGGCCCGGGUUCGAUCCUCAGCACCACAUACAAACGAAGAUGUUGUGUCCGCUGAGAACUAAGAAAAAAUUAAAAAAUGUUAAAAUUCCCUCUCUCUCUCUCUCUGUCCCCCUCUCUCUCCCACUCUCUCUUUAAAAAAAAAAAAAAGCGAGGAGGGAAGAGUAGUAACUGCGUCCUUGGGUCACACCAC